AACGAACGCUGGCGGCAGGCCUAACACAUGCAAGUCGAGCGGACCUUUCGGGGUCAGCGGCGGACGGGUGAGUAACGCGUGGGAAUAUGCCCUUCUCUACGGAAUAGUCCUGGGAAACUGGGGGUAAUACCGUAUACGCCCUUUGGGGGAAAGAUUUAUCGGGGAAGGAUUAGCCCGCGUUGGAUUAGGUAGUUGGUGGGGUAAUGGCCUACCAAGCCGACGAUCCAUAGCUGGUUUGAGAGGAUGAUCAGCCACACUGGGACUGAGAAACGGCCCAGACUCGAACGGGAGGCAGCAGGUGGGACGCUGAGAGUAUGGUGGCAACCGUGAUCGAGCGCUGUCGCGUGGGAGAGGAAGGCUUUAGGCUUGAAAAGCUUGUUAAGAUGGGAAAAUAAUAACGGUACGAGCAGAAGAAGCCCCGGCCAAAUCCGAACCAGGCCCCCGGUAAUAAGAGGAACCGCACAAUUCUCGAC
RNAcentral lists this ribosomal RNA (473 nucleotides) under uncultured bacterium. RNAcentral describes it as "partial 16S ribosomal RNA". It matches the Rfam family "Bacterial small subunit ribosomal RNA", at positions 39 to 535 of the family's 1533-position model. The record is from RNAcentral.